This 76-nucleotide transfer RNA is filed under the name Thermotogota bacterium. RNAcentral describes it as "Thermotogae bacterium tRNA-Lys". It matches the Rfam family "tRNA". From Rfam's summary of the family: Transfer RNA (tRNA) molecules are approximately 80 nucleotides in length. Their secondary structure includes four short double-helical elements and three loops (D, anti-codon, and T loops). The record is from RNAcentral. Lineage: Bacteria; Thermotogati; Thermotogota. RNAcentral also lists the same sequence under 1 other name.
GACCCGCUAGCUCAGCAGGUAGAGCACCUGACUUUUAAUCAGGGGGUCGUGGGUUCGAGUCCCACGCGGGUCACCA